This 406-nucleotide ribosomal RNA is filed under the name Cardinium endosymbiont of Bemisia tabaci. Its description in RNAcentral is "bacterial SSU rRNA". It matches the Rfam family "Bacterial small subunit ribosomal RNA", at positions 234 to 637 of the family's 1533-position model. Lineage: Bacteria; Pseudomonadati; Bacteroidota; Cytophagia; Cytophagales; Amoebophilaceae. The record is from RNAcentral.
CGUCCUAUUAGCUAGUUGGUGAGGCAAUGGCUCACCAAGGCUACGAUGGGUAGGGGUUCUUAGUGGAAGAUCCCCCACACUGGCACUGAGAUACGGGCCAGACUCCUACGGGAGGCAGCAGUAGGGAAUAUUGGUCAAUGGGCGCAAGCCUGAACCAGCCAUGCCGCGUGCAGGAUGACAGCUCUCUGAGUUGUAAACUGCUUUUGUACAGGAGCAAAACAAUCCCUGCGGGGGUUCUUGAGAGUACUGUAAGAAUAAGCACCGGCUAAUUCCGUGCCAGCAGCCGCGGUAAUACGGAAGGUGCAAGCGUUAUCCGGUUUUAUUGGGUUUAAAGGGUGCGUAGGCGGCUUAUUAAGUCAGUUGUGAAAUCCUAGUGCUUAACGCUAGAACUGCGAUUGAUACUAUU